UCUGACACAGGUGCUGCAUGGCUGUCGUCAGCUCGUGUCGUAAGAUGUUGGGUUAAGUCCGUACGAGCGCAACCCUGUCCUUAGUUACCAGCACGUUAUGGUGGGCACUCUAAGGAGACUGCCGGUGACAAACCGGAGGAAGGUGGGGAUGACGUCAAGUCAUCAUGGCCCUUACGGCCUGGGCUACACACGUGCUACAAUGGUCGGUACAAAGGGUUGCCAAGCCGCGAGGUGGAGCUAAUCCCAUAAAACCGAUCGUAGUCCGGAUCGCAGUCUGCAACUCGACUGCGUGAAGUCGGAAUCGCUAGUAAUCGUGAAUCAGAAUGUCACGGUGAAUACGUUCCCGGGCCUU
RNAcentral lists this ribosomal RNA (352 nucleotides) under uncultured Pseudomonas sp. RNAcentral describes it as "bacterial SSU rRNA". It matches the Rfam family "Bacterial small subunit ribosomal RNA", at positions 1028 to 1382 of the family's 1533-position model. The record is from RNAcentral. Lineage: Bacteria; Pseudomonadati; Pseudomonadota; Gammaproteobacteria; Pseudomonadales; Pseudomonadaceae.